Molecule: ribosomal RNA, 449 nt
Filed under: uncultured bacterium
Lineage: Bacteria
Description: bacterial SSU rRNA
Rfam family: Bacterial small subunit ribosomal RNA
Source: RNAcentral
GUGGGGAAUUUUGGACAAUGGGCGAAAGCCUGAUCCAGCAACGCCGCGUGAGUGAUGAAGGCCUUCGGGUUGUAAAGCUCUGUCGGAGGGAACGAAUAAGGGCGACCUAACACGUCGUCCGACGACGGUACCCUUAAAGGAAGCAACGGCUAACUCUGUGCCAGCAGCCGCGGUAAGACAGAGGUUGCAAGCGUUGUUCGGAAUCACUGGGCGUAAAGGGCGUGUAGGCGGCGGAGUAUGUCCGAUGUGAAAUCCCUCGGCUCAACUGGGGAAUGGCAUUGGAAACUGCUUCGCUCGAGUGCGGAAGAGGGUGGCGGAAUUCCCAGAGUAGAGGUGAAAUUCGUAGAUACUGGGAGGAACACCGGUGGCGAAGGCGGCCACCUGGUCCGUAACUGACGCUGAGACGCGAAAGCGUGGGGAGCAAACAGGAUUAGAAACCCGGGUAGUCC